UAAUACGUAGGGUGCAAGCGUUAAUCGGAAUUACUGGGCGUAAAGGGUGCGCAGGCGGUUUUGUAAGUCAGAUGUGAAAUCCCCGGGCUUAACCUGGGAACUGCGUUUGAAACUGCAAGGCUAGAGUGUGGCAGAGGGAGGCGGAAUUCCAUGUGUAGCAGUGAAAUGCGUAGAGAUAUGGAAGAACAUCGAUGGCGAAGGCAGCCUCCUGGGUUAACACUGACGCUCAGGCACGAAAGCGUGGGGAGCAAACAGGAUUAGAUACCCUGGUAGUCCACGCCCUAAACUAUGUCAACUAGUUGUUGGACCUUAACAGGUUUGGUAACGUAGCUAACGCGUGAAGUUGACCGCCUGGGGAGUACGGUCGCAAGAUUAAAACUCAAAUGAAUUGACGG
Molecule: ribosomal RNA, 395 nt
Filed under: uncultured bacterium
Lineage: Bacteria
Description: bacterial SSU rRNA
Rfam family: Bacterial small subunit ribosomal RNA
Source: RNAcentral